GGGCCUAUAGCUCAGUUGGUUAGAGCAGAGGACUCAUAAUCCUUUGGUCGCUGGUUCGAGUCCAGCUGGGCCCA
RNAcentral lists this transfer RNA (74 nucleotides) under Marinobacter persicus. Its description in RNAcentral is "Marinobacter sp. M9B(2010) tRNA". It matches the Rfam family "tRNA". Rfam says of the family: Transfer RNA (tRNA) molecules are approximately 80 nucleotides in length. The record is from Rfam by way of RNAcentral. Lineage: Bacteria; Pseudomonadati; Pseudomonadota; Gammaproteobacteria; Pseudomonadales; Marinobacteraceae.